RNAcentral lists this ribosomal RNA (682 nucleotides) under uncultured bacterium. RNAcentral's name for it is "bacterial SSU rRNA". It matches the Rfam family "Bacterial small subunit ribosomal RNA", at positions 244 to 916 of the family's 1533-position model. The record is from RNAcentral.
GCUAGUUGGUGAGGUAACGGCUCACCAAGGCAAAGAUGGGUAGCUGGUCUGAGAGGAUGGCCAGCCACACUGGAACUGAGACACGGUCCAGACUCCUACGGGAGGCAGCAGUAGGGAAUUUUGGGCAAUGGGCGAAAGCCUGACCCAGCAACGCCGCGUGUGGGAUGAAGGCCCUCGGGUCGUAAACCACUGUCAGGAGGAAAGAAAAGCCGGCCGGGUAAUAUUCGGUCGGCCUGACGGUACCUCCAAAGGAAGCACCGGCUAACUCCGUGCCAGCAGCCGCGGUAAUACGGAGGGUGCAAGCGUUGUUCGGAAUUACUGGGCGUAAAGCGCGUGUAGGUGGUUGAGUAAGUCGAAUGUGAAAGCCCCGGGCUCAACCCGGGAAGUGCAUCCGAAACUGCUCGUCUAGAGUCCCGGAGAGGGAGGCAGAAUUCCCAAUGUAGGGGUGAAAUCCGUAGAUAUUGGGAGGAAUACCGGUGGCGAAGGCGGCCUUCUGGACGGUGACUGACACUCAGACGCGAAAGCGUGGGGAGCAAACAGGAUUAGAUACCCUGGUAGUCCACGCUGUAAACGUUGCGAACUAGGUGUCGGGGGUAUUCACCCCUCCGGUGCCGAAGCUAACGUCUUAAGUUCGCCGCCUGGGAAGUACGGCCGCAAGGCUAAAACUCAAAGGAAUUGACGG